UACGUAGGGUGCAAGCGUUAAUCGGAAUUACUGGGCGUAAAGCGUGCGCAGGCGGUUUUGUAAGUUUGUCGUGAAAUCCCCGGGCUCAACCUGGGAAUGGCGAUGAAGACUGCAAGGCUAGAAUCUGGCAGAGGGGGGUAGAAUUCCACGUGUAGCAGUGAAAUGCGUAGAGAUGUGGAGGAACACCGAUGGCGAAGGCAGCCCCUCGGGUCGAAGAUUGACGCUCAUGCACGAAAGCGUGGGGAGCAAACAGGAUUAGAAACCCUAGUAGU
RNAcentral lists this ribosomal RNA (272 nucleotides) under uncultured bacterium. RNAcentral's name for it is "partial 16S ribosomal RNA". It matches the Rfam family "Bacterial small subunit ribosomal RNA", at positions 524 to 794 of the family's 1533-position model. The record is from RNAcentral.